CUCGGAAGAGUGAACUAGCUAACUGAAAUCAUAAGUGUGUCAUUUAUGAAUAAUGUAAGGGAAAAUUAUGAUAUUACCUUACUAAAAGUGUCGNCCAAAACUGGUGCCAGAAGACUCGGUAAGGCCAGAGACGCAAACGUUAGUCGUCUUUAUCAGGCGUAAAGGGUUUGUAGGCGGCUUUGAAAGUCUUAUUUUNCUAAAAUAGCAAUAACUCUCUCCUUUAAGGUUAGGAACUAAAGAAUAAGAUCAAUUAAAGCUUGAAUCAUAUAUGAGAUAANUNACCUANUACUUAGAGUAGGGGCGAUAUCCAUAGAUUCUAUAGAAGUNAAGCUAUUCUANAUUUAGUUUUAUCUGAUUGAUCUGGUAGNUAAACUAAUUAAUUUUAGUUUUUUAUUUUAUUAUAUUAAAUUAAUAGUAAGAAUUAUCAAAUUAUCCNAAUUUGUAUUUCUUGAUAUUCUUAUAAAUUUUCUUCUAGAAUUUAUAAUUANAGAAUAUUUUANUAAAUAUACAUAUAAUAAAACUNCCGUAAAUAUAAUAUAAAUAAUUAUAUUUACUCUUCUAAUGAUUUGGUGGCGAGGUUAACACGAUGACCAUUCCGCCUUGUGAGUACGACUGCNAAGNUGAAAACCCAAAAAAUUAGUCGGUUUCGAGAGCACAACGAAGUGACAGCAUG
This 673-nucleotide ribosomal RNA is filed under the name Gloeophyllum sepiarium. Its description in RNAcentral is "partial small subunit ribosomal RNA". Lineage: Eukaryota; Fungi; Basidiomycota; Agaricomycetes; Gloeophyllales; Gloeophyllaceae. The record is from RNAcentral.